This 1188-nucleotide ribosomal RNA is filed under the name Staphylococcus aureus. RNAcentral's name for it is "partial 23S ribosomal RNA". It matches the Rfam family "Bacterial large subunit ribosomal RNA", at positions 250 to 1442 of the family's 2925-position model. Lineage: Bacteria; Bacillati; Bacillota; Bacilli; Caryophanales; Staphylococcaceae. The record is from RNAcentral.
CGAGCGAAACGGAAAGAGCCCAAACCAACAAGCUUGCUUGUUGGGGUUGUAGGACACUCUAUACGGAGUUACAAAGGACGACAUUAGACGAAUCAUCUGGAAAGAUGAAUCAAAGAAGGUAAUAAUCCUGUAGUCGAAAAUGUUGUCUCUCUUGAGUGGAUCCUGAGUACGACGGAGCACGUGAAAUUCCGUCGGAAUCUGGGAGGACCAUCUCCUAAGGCUAAAUACUCUCUAGUGACCGAUAGUGAACCAGUACCGUGAGGGAAAGGUGAAAAGCACCCCGGAAGGGGAGUGAAAUAGAACCUGAAACCGUGUGCUUACAAGUAGUCAGAGCCCGUUAAUGGGUGAUGGCGUGCCUUUUGUAGAAUGAACCGGCGAGUUACGAUUUGAUGCAAGGUUAAGCAGUAAAUGUGGAGCCGUAGCGAAAGCGAGUCUGAAUAGGGCGUUUAGUAUUUGGUCGUAGACCCGAAACCAGGUGAUCUACCCUUGGUCAGGUUGAAGUUCAGGUAACACUGAAUGGAGGACCGAACCGACUUACGUUGAAAAGUGAGCGGAUGAACUGAGGGUAGCGGAGAAAUUCCAAUCGAACCUGGAGAUAGCUGGUUCUCUCCGAAAUAGCUUUAGGGCUAGCCUCAAGUGAUGAUUAUUGGAGGUAGAGCACUGUUUGGACGAGGGGCCCCUCUCGGGUUACCGAAUUCAGACAAACUCCGAAUGCCAAUUAAUUUAACUUGGGAGUCAGAACAUGGGUGAUAAGGUCCGUGUUCGAAAGGGAAACAGCCCAGACCACCAGCUAAGGUCCCAAAAUAUAUGUUAAGUGGAAAAGGAUGUGGCGUUGCCCAGACAACUAGGAUGUUGGCUUAGAAGCAGCCAUCAUUUAAAGAGUGCGUAAUAGCUCACUAGUCGAGUGACACUGCGCCGAAAAUGUACCGGGGCUAAACAUAUUACCGAAGCUGUGGAUUGUCCUUUGGACAAUGGUAGGAGAGCGUUCUAAGGGCGUUGAAGCAUGAUCGUAAGGACAUGUGGAGCGCUUAGAAGUGAGAAUGCCGGUGUGAGUAGCGAAAGACGGGUGAGAAUCCCGUCCACCGAUUGACUAAGGUUUCCAGAGGAAGGCUCGUCCGCUCUGGGUUAGUCGGGUCCUAAGCUGAGGCCGACAGGCGUAGGCGAUGGAUAACAGGUUGAUAUUCCUGU